UAGGGAAUUUUCCACAAUGGGGGCAACCCUGAUGGAGCAAUGCCGCGUGAGAGAAGAAGGCCUUCGGGUUGUAAAUCUCUGUUAUAAGUGAAGAAAAGUACAAGUAGGAAAUGGCUUGUAUCUGACAUUAGCUUAUCAGAAAGCCACGGCUAACUACGUGCCAGCAGCCGCGGUAAUACGUAGGUGGCGAGCGUUAUCCGGAAUUAUUGGGCGUAAAGGGUGCGCAGGCGGUUAUAAAAGAUUGUGGUUAAAGAAUGGGGCUUAACUCCAUAAUGCCAUGAUAACUGUAUAACUAGAGUGCAGAAGAGGAAAGUGGAAUUCCAUGUGUAGCGGUGAAAUGCGUAGAUAUAUGGAGGAACACCAGUGGCGAAGGCGACUUUCUGGUCUGACACUGACGCUG
This 400-nucleotide ribosomal RNA is filed under the name uncultured bacterium. RNAcentral describes it as "bacterial SSU rRNA". It matches the Rfam family "Bacterial small subunit ribosomal RNA", at positions 355 to 748 of the family's 1533-position model. The record is from RNAcentral.